UACGUAGGGUGCAAGCGUUGUCCGGAAUUAUUGGGCGUAUAGAGCUCGUAGGCGGUCUGUCGCGUCGGCUGUGAAAACUUGGGGCUCAACCCCAAGCCUGCAGUCGAUACGGGCAGACUAGAGUGCGGUAGGGGAGACUGGAAUUCCUGGUGUAGCGGUGAAAUGCGCAGAUAUCAGGAGGAACACCGGUGGCGAAGGCGGGUCUCUGGGCCGUAACUGACGCUGAGGAGCGAAAGCGUGGGGAGCGAACAGG
This 253-nucleotide ribosomal RNA is filed under the name uncultured bacterium. RNAcentral's name for it is "partial 16S ribosomal RNA". It matches the Rfam family "Bacterial small subunit ribosomal RNA", at positions 524 to 776 of the family's 1533-position model. The record is from RNAcentral.